CCUACGGGUGGCUGCAGUGGGGAAUAUUGGACAAUGGGGGCAACCCUGAUCCAGCCAUGCCGCGUGUGUGAAGAAGGCCCUCGGGUUGUAAAGCACUUUCAGUGAGGAAGAACGCCUGGUGGUUAAUACCCAUCAGGAAAGACAUCACUCACAGAAGAAGCACCGGCUAACUCCGUGCCAGCAGCCGCGGUAAUACGGAGGGUGCGAGCGUUAAUCGGAAUUACUGGGCGUAAAGCGCGCGUAGGUGGCUUGAUAAGCCGGUUGUGAAAGCCCCGGGCUCAACCUGGGAACGGCAUCCGGAACUGUCAAGCUAGAGCGCAGGAGAGGAAGGUAGAAUUCCCGGUGUAGCGGUGAAAUGCGUAGAGAUCGGGAGGAAUACCAGUGGCGAAGGCGGCCUUCUGGACUGACACUGACACUGAGGUGCGAAAGCGUGGGUAGCAAACAGGAUUAGAUACCCUUGUAGUC
This 465-nucleotide ribosomal RNA is filed under the name Vreelandella stevensii. Its description in RNAcentral is "partial 16S ribosomal RNA". It matches the Rfam family "Bacterial small subunit ribosomal RNA", at positions 338 to 795 of the family's 1533-position model. The record is from RNAcentral. Lineage: Bacteria; Pseudomonadati; Pseudomonadota; Gammaproteobacteria; Oceanospirillales; Halomonadaceae.